UGCCAGCAGCCGCGGUAAUUUCCAGCUCCAAUAGCGUAUUAAUAAGUUGUUGCAGUCAAAAAGCUCGUAGUUGGAUUUCUGGUUUGGGUGGCCGGUCCAUGUCCUUGUGGCGUGCGCACUGGAGCCGCUUCCUUACCAUCCUUGCGGAGAUUGCGGCUGUCUUUUAUUAGCUGGGCGUAGGAUCUGCAUCAUUUACUGUGAAAAAAUUAGAGUGUUUAAAGCAGGCAUCUGCUCUGAAUACAUUAGCAUGGAAUAAUAAAAUAGGUCUUUGGAGCUAUUUCGUUGGUUUGCGCUUCAAGGAAAUGAUUAAUAGGGAUAGUUGGGGGUAUUCGUAUUUAAUUGUCAGAGGUGAAAUUCUUGGAUUUAUGAAAGACGAACUACUGCGAAAGCAUUUACCAAGGAUGUUUUCAUUAAUCAAGAACGAAAGUUAGGGGAUCGAAGAGGAUUAGAUACCCUCGUAGUCUUAACCAUAAACUAUGCCGACUAGGGAUUGGAGGGCGCAAUUAAUGACCCCUUCAGCACCUUAUGAGAAAUCAAAGUCUUUGGGUUCCGGGGGGAGUAUGGUCGCAAGGCUGAAACUUAAAGGAAUAGACGGAAGGGCACCACCAGGGGUGGAACCUGCGGCUUAAUUUGACUCAACACGGGAAAGCUUACCAGGUCCAGACAUAGUAAGGAUUGACAGAUUGAGAGCUCUUUCUUGAUUCUAUGGGUGGUGGCGCAUGGCCGUUCUUAGUUGGUGGAGUGAUUUGUCUGGUUAAUUCCGUCAACGAACGAGACCUCCGCCUGCUAAAUAGUACCGCGAUUCUUCCAAUCGCGAGAACUUCUUAGAGGGACAUUGGGUUUUUAGCCCAAGGAAGUUGGAGGCAAUAACAGGUCUGUGAUGCCC
RNAcentral lists this ribosomal RNA (886 nucleotides) under uncultured eukaryote. RNAcentral's name for it is "SSU rRNA". It matches the Rfam family "Eukaryotic small subunit ribosomal RNA", at positions 565 to 1472 of the family's 1831-position model. The record is from RNAcentral.